This 492-nucleotide ribosomal RNA is filed under the name uncultured bacterium. RNAcentral describes it as "partial 16S ribosomal RNA". It matches the Rfam family "Bacterial small subunit ribosomal RNA", at positions 29 to 507 of the family's 1533-position model. The record is from RNAcentral.
AGUGAACGCUGGCGGUAGGCCUAACACAUGCAAGUCGAACGGCAACACAGUAAGAGCUUGCUCUUACGGGUGGCGAGUGGCGGACGGGUGAGGAAUGCAUCGGACUCUACUUUUUCGUGGGGGAUAACGUAGGGACACUUACGAUAAUACCGCAUACGACCUACGGGUGAAAGCAGGGGAUCUUCGGACCUUGCGCGAUUGAAUGAGCCGAUGUCGGAUUAGCUAGUUGGCGGGGUAAAGGCCCACCACGGCGACGAUCCGUAGCUGGUCUGAGAGGAUGAUCAGCCACACUGGAACUGAGACACGGUCCAGACUCCUACGGGAGGCAGCAGUGGGGAAUAUUGGACAAUGGGCGCAAGCCUGAUCCAGCCAUACCGCGUGGGUGAUGAAGGCCUUCGGGUUGUAAAGCCCUGUUGUUGGGAAAGAAAAGCAGCAGGUUAAUACCCCGCUGUUCUGACGGUACCCAAAGAAUAAGCACCGGCUAACUUCGUG